AUACGUAGGGGGCGAGCGUUGUCCGGAAUAACUGGGCGUAAAGCGCAUGUAGACGGCAUGAUAAGCCAAAUGUGAAAUGUAGGGGCUCAACCCCUGCACUGCGAUUGGAACUGUCAAGCUUGAGUGCAGGAGAGGCAAAUGGAAUUCCCAGUGUAGCAGUGAAAUGCGUAGAGAUUGGGAGGAACACCAGUGGCGAAGGCGCUUUGCUGGACUGCAAUUGACGUUGAGAUGCGAAAGCUAGGGGAGCAACCGGGAUUAGAUACCCCGGUAUUCCUAGCCGUAAACGAUGGAUACUAGGUGUAGAGGGUAUCGACCCUUUCUGUCCCGCAGCGAACGCAAUAAGUAUCCCGCCUGGGGAGUACGGUCGCAAGACUGAAACUCAAAGGAAUUGACGGGG
Molecule: ribosomal RNA, 397 nt
Filed under: uncultured bacterium
Lineage: Bacteria
Description: partial 16S ribosomal RNA
Rfam family: Bacterial small subunit ribosomal RNA
Source: RNAcentral